UGCGUGUGAUGGAAAAGAUCAAAUAAGCAAGCGUGGAAAGCAGAAUAACAGUCCGCCAAAGACGUCCACGCCCCGGUCCCCAGAACCUGGGACCGUGUUGGUUACACGGCUCAGAGGCCUUAGGCCGCAGCUCGAGUCGAGGUUAGUAAACAGCUGACCUUUGGUUUCCACAGAUCACACUAGAUUUUAUUUUUUUUCCUAAUUUUAAACAUUAGGAAAGUUGGUAUAUGUGACAGUUUCAUAUGCAUGGAUUGGAGGGUCAUAGGGCUGUGGCGUCACGUGGGCAGGAAAGAAGAUAAAGAAACCCGUGAGAAAUCAUAGAAUAAGUGAAAUGCAAAGCAAAUUGGAGUGACCCACGUUUAAGGAACAUUUAAAGAUGGUGGGGUUUUUUUUUUCGAUUUCUACUCAUUUGAUGUUUCGAGUGUUUUUUUCCUUCUUCUUCUUCUCUCCCCAAAGGCCCCCAGUGCGUAGUUGUAAAUUUUAGUUGCAGGUCCUUCUAGUUGUGGACGUUUCAGUUUUUAUCGAGGAAAUCUUUGUUUAUUUUGACUGAUCCAUUCCUUAUUUCCAUUGAGGUAUAACUGACACCUGACGUUGUGUUAGUUUCAGGUGUGGGACAUCACGGUUCGCUGUUUGUGUGCGCUGUGAAGCGAUCACCACAGUAAGUCUGAAAGCUGACAUCCCUCACGGACACGGUUAUAACACGUUCUGCUUUUUCCCUGUGGUGAGGACUUCAGGCUCUGCCCUCAGCUGCUUUUCCACAUGCGCUGCGGUGCUGUUCCCUGCAGCCACCGCGCUGGGCGUGACGCCCGGGACUCAGCGACCCAAGCAGCUGACCUCAUGGAGAGAUCACCCCGGACUCUCCAGGUGGGGCCAGUGUCAUCAGAAAGAGCCUGAAAAGCGGAAGAGGACGCAUAUCUGAUGUUACCCGUCGGUCACACCUCAGGAGGAAAAGCGGACGAGAACGGAGAGAGCCAGCGAGACGAAGACGGCCGGGUGACAAGGGAGGCCAGGGGCCCCGGGCCGCGUGCUGCGCUCUCAACAACCCCAGUGAGCAGGAGUCGGUGCCCCGGAGCCUUGGGACGGGAGCGCAGCCUGUGGCACCUCGGGCUAAGCUUUCGGGGACCCUGAGCAGAGAGGUGCCGAGCCCCCCGCACCUCCCACCCUUGGAAACUGUGCUGAUAGCUGGCUGCCAUGUUAGUACCACAUUGUGCUUGUUACACAGCAGCACGUUACAGCGGCAGAUGGAAAGCCCACAGCCAGUUCCCCAGGGCCAGUGGAGUCUGGUCUGGGUCACAGUGGGCUUCCUGAAAAAGCAGCCUUUGAGGUGAGACCCGUAGGAUGAACCUCGCCGACUUGGCAAAGGGCAGAGGCAGAGGGAACAGAAGGUGCAAGGGCCCUGAGGCAGGAGGAAAUCAGCUCAAGUGAGAAAAGGAAGGAAGCCCAGUGCGACUGGGAGGCAGACCCCGGGCACGUCGCUGCGCUCUCUGAGCCUCAGUUUCCUCCCCCGCGAGGUGGGAUUAUAGGAGCUUUCCCUCACUAUGAGGGUGAGACGGCCCUGCAAGCUGUGUAGCAAAGCAGCUGGAGACGUGGGCCCCACAGCCAGCCCAGACCGGGGCUCGAGCUCCAGGUCUUCUGCUUACUGCCUGGGUGACCGUGGGAGGCUGCAUCCCCUCUCUGAGCCUCAGUUUCCCUCUCUGCCAGGCUGCUGUCAGUCUUAGAUAAGAGCGUGUCAGUGGUGCUCAACAAAUGCUGGCUAUCAUUGUCAUCGUUUUCGUUAGGAGACGGGGACCCAAAGUCGGACAGGAACGUGCUCAGGGUCCCCCAGAGACUGGUGGGCGCACUGGGUAGAAACGAGUCUCCCGAUCCGGCCGUGGACCCCCCAGCUUCUCCGUCUGAAGGCCGCACCAACCGAGGCGGCGGGACUCAGCCAGGAAGGCUGUGUGCGUGUGAGUGUGAGCGUGCACACACGUGCAUGCAAGAGCGUGAGGGGGAGCCAGAGUGUGUGUGUAAAGGUACAUGUGUGAGUGUGCAUGGGUGUGUGAAUGUGCUUGGUGGUGUUGAUGAGACAACAUGGCCUGGGGGACAGACGGACGGUCAUCAGUGAGUCCUUGUGCCUGGUCAGGCCGGCCCCCGGGGAGGGGGGGGCAAUACUCACCAAGAGGCUCCUGGCCCUGGUGGGCUCCUUACAGCCACAGGCCGUCAUUUCAGACGGUGUCUGUCCAGGGAGCAGCUGACCCUCUGGGGCGCGUUUCACGGGGAUGGCGGGGCGGGGCAGGAAGUGACCCUUCUCCUCAGGGAGUCGCGACCCGGCUCUGUGCUCGUGGCUUCACGUACAUCUCCUUAUGUAGUCAGCACAACAGCCAUAUUAUUCACAUUACAAAUGAGGAAACUGAGGCUCUGGGAGCCCGGGAGACCCCAGUUCUGCAUCUCCGCUGUGCUCAGAGCCCUUGCAGCAUUGGCUGCGGCUGCAGCCAUCAACAGGCCGUGUGCCCCUCCCACCUCUUGGAUCUGAGCUGGUCCUGUAAUUCGCUUUGGCCAACAGACUUGCCGGCAGAGAUGUUGUGCCAAAUCUAAGCUCAUGCCCCUGACAGCCUUGCGUGCUUCUGCCCUCUCUCGGACUCCUGUCCCCAUCAGGAGAACAAGCCUGGCAGAGAAGGAGCGACAGGUCACCCAGCCGUGCCCUCACCUAGAUGAUCGUUAGCCACGCCCCAGAACAGAGCCUCCAGCUGGCCCAGCAGGCAACUGCAGAGCGUGAGGGACCCCAGCUCAGACCAGAAGAACCAUCGAGCUGAUGGUUCAGGCUAAAUUAACUCACUGAAUCAUGUUGUUUUAAACUUUGGGGUCAUUUGUCACCCGGUGGUAGCUAACUGAUACCCAUAAUCAUACAGCUGUUGAGUAGAGUAAGUUUCAAACCCAGGUUUGUCUGACUCCAGAAUUCAUGCUCAACCCUAUAUUCUGCCAUCCCCCAGCGGGGAAAUGAGUGUAAGGGUCCAAAGCCACUGAUGGUCCCACUCUGCCCUCACACGCUUCAGUCUUCGUCUUCCGGGAGCACGCCCAGUGCCUGCUCUCUCCACCUGGGAGCUCCUGCCUGGCUCGGGCCCUUUCACCCCCUUCUCUUACCACAGUCCAGGCAGGGACCGAGCGCUGGCCGCAGCCUCGGGUGCCCCCAGCCUCCACCUAGAUCAGCACUGUCCCCCCUCAUUUGCGAAGUCCGUGCAGAGAGCUGGCAGAACGAACCCACGGUUUCGACACGUACACAUCAGCGGCCACGAUAAAAACCAGCUGGAAGGUUUAAAAAUAGCCUCCCAGGCUGCCGGAGAUGCCAGGUCCCUGGCCGGGAGGAGCAGCAGCCCCGCGGCGGGGGCACCAUCUGCGGGGCAACAGCUGCCGCCGCACGCCCAGGAGACUCCCGGCCGGGCCCAAGACGCCCGAGAGCGUGGCCGAGCCUGAGCCCCUGGGAGCACAAGCCCCCAGACAGGGGAGGACGGAGAGGAAGAUGACGCCGGGCCCAGGAGGAGGCGCUUCCUCCUCCCCCUUGUCAAACCUCUCUCUCCUUUCCCUCCUAUCCCCCAUCUCUCUCCUCCUUCAUCACCCCUGUAAUUAAUGCUCGGGCGGGCCGUGGAGGGACAGGACCCACGCCCUACCCUCCCAGGCUGUGCGAUCUUAAGCAGGUGACUCCACCCCAUGAGCCUCAGUUUCCUCAUCUGUCAGAUGGGGCCCCUGCCUUGCUGGAUGGUGCUGUUUCCGCAGGACAGCGCCAGUGAAGAGCUCAGCGGAGCCACCGGCAAGUCCGCGAGAGCCCCGUCUCCCCUCUUCCGAGAAGGCUGACGGUGAUGGUGAGGACCCCACGCCAGCCCCGCGCUCGUCCUCUCCCUGGCCCCUCUCCCUGCUUCUGGCCCUAGGCCUCUCCUUCCCCUCUCAGACCCCGACCUGGCCCCCGCAGGCUGAAGACAGACGAUGAGCUGGGGCCUGUUGCGCUGAAUUCCACCUCGGCGCGGCCUGCUGCCCUGCUCCAGCCGCACCUGGCUCGCAGAGGGAGCCUGGCCGGGCACCCUCCAGCUCCCCAGUCAACCCCUCACCCGCGGGCUUCCGGUUCACGCUGCAUCCCAGCACCAAGCCUGGCGCGUCACACAGUGCUGCUCGAUGAGCAUCGCUGAGGGACUGAAGGAACGAGCGGGACUCCUGUUGUUCCCACUUUACAGAUGAGAAACUGAGGCUCUGAGAGGUGGGCCGGCAUGUGGCAGAAUACAACCCUUGCAGGUUGAGGGAAGCCAGGCUUGGGGGAGUGACAGGUCCCACCAAGGUCCCAGUGGUGGGAUUUGAACCAUUUCACUGGCACCGAAGCCUGAGUCUUAACCACCAGCGACGCCUCAUUCUCACAUCUCUUCUAGCCGACUUCCACAGUCAGCAUCCUUGCAGGUCAAAGCCUGUCAUGCAUGUGCUGUGUGGCCUUAGGCAACUCACAUAACCUCUCUGAGCCUUGGUUUCUGCACUGGUAAAACAAAAAACAGACCUCAGGCAGAAUUUCCCUCAGCUCAUUUUUCCUCUGCUUUCUCAGCAUCUAGCGCUGGCUCUGGCAUGCAGUCUGUGCCAAAUAAAUCUGUUGAUUAAUUAAUCAAAAGGACAAGUUUACCUUAGAGCAUUGAAGUCUGCCCAGGAGCUCUCCAGUUGGGUGUCUCUGGGAACAUAUUCCUUCUCUCCCCACUUUAAAGAAACAGAAACUGCAAAAGGCAAGAGAUGCACUGGGCAUGUGGUUCAUGCAAGAGAGACCGGGGAAGCCCAUCGCAGACUCCCAGGCCCUCGGAGAAAAGACCUUUUUCCCACAUCGAAACAUGGGCGGGCGGACGUGCAUCACCAGGCUGCCCGUUAAUACGCAGCGUCGAAGCCAGACGGUGCACUGGUUGCCAUCUUGGCAGCCCCAGCAGAGGCAUCUGGCGACACGGACGCGUGGUCUGAUGGCAUUGGCUGGACGUGUCCAUUUUCUCCAGCCCCACAGGAAGGCUGUGUGUCCCUGCUGUGCCGGCGCUGUGCCAGGCUCUGGGAGACCCCUCCGCGUGAGCCAGGCCCACCCCACCCUGAGGGCGCUCAGAGCUCGGGACCAGGUGGGGUCCCCAAGCUUCGGACCCAGUCCCUGAGGUUCCAGCAGAACAGCCCCAAGUUCCACGGGGCAGGUUCCCACGCCUGGGUGGGUGCUUCUGGAGACCGCAGAGAACUUUCCAGCAGAGUGCACCCCUGGGGCCAGGGUCCAAGGCCGCAGCUGUCGGGGGAGCCCCAAGCCCCUUGCAGGAACCCCAGGGGGCAGCCUCCUGUUCCUGUCCCGAGGAGAGGCCCUGGGGCCCUCGGCCGUCCUGCCGUCCACCCCCAGGCUCCCCAGCUCUGCCCAGGCCCCCCGCCCACAGCGUCCUGCCAGGCUGGCUAAAAGCAGGCGCUGCGCCAGCUUGCCAGCCUCCGGUCCGCAGGGACGACCCUGACCCUGGGCUUCAACAGAGAGGCUGGGAGACACUUGCCUUAGGCUGUGUGUCCUGUCCCCACGUGGCUCCCGGCUGCUCCCAAGAUGGGAACCAGGGUGUCUCUUUCAUAGACUUUCCAGACCCUUCCUGCGGGUCCUACCACCGCUGCGGGCUGGAGUGUCCAUGGGCCCGGCCAGGUCACACACACCCCCACGCCCCAGGGAGCGGGAAGGGCCCGGGGGCUCGCACUGGGCCCCCACACUCAGGAGGCCCCAACCUCGGUUUAAUGCCCUGCUGUGGCCGUCUUCACAGUCUUGGUACGUUUUGAACGUGGGGUCACACAUUCCCCUUUUGCACGGGGGCCCUAAUUCUGCCCCACCCCUGAGAUCCUAGAACUCCUGAAAAGCCUUCAGAAACGGGCAGCAGCAGAAACCGCAAAUAGCCCCACGUCCCGACUCCCACACCAGGGCCCGGGCACUCACUCCUGCACGUGCUCACCUCGCACGGCUGUGCUCACGGGGCCUCACGGGUGCCCCUGCACAUGCACACACAUGCAUGUUUACAUGUAUGACAGCUGUCACCCUGGCCACAAGCUUCCUGCUGUGCGGGUGGCUCGGGAGACCUCGAAAUGCCACCCCAGCACCGCUAGGCUGAGGAGAAAGCAGGGAGGGCCGAGAAAAGCCUGGAGGGGGUGUUGGGGCCAAGGGAGCACCCCUACCUCCCCCAGUCUCCCUGGAAACCAGGGGUGCCCCCCUCGCCCGGGAUCCCGCUUAGUCCUCCCAUAGCUCUCUGCAGGGCCCUCCGCACUGUACCCGCGGGGUCCCCGCAGCCGUCCCCGAGCUCAGGUCUGUGUUACGCCUAUUUUAAGGAUGGCAAAACUGAGGCUCCAGGAAGCAAAGUCGCCCGCUGGAACCAAGGCACGAAGGCAGGCAGACCCGGGAGCUCCAAGCCCCUCAGAGGCUCCUGACAUGUGACAAGCCUCAGCCCACCUCGCCCUGGCCCCCCGUGGGCUUGCCCCCUCCUGUUCCUCACCUGCAGGGGUUUGCUCCCCAGGUGGGGCUCCAGCUGGUUCAGAGGGGCACGUCCUCCCUCCAGGGCUCACACUGGCCCUCACAGGGACAGGUGGGGACAGGUCACUGCCCAGGGGCCCCCAGUGAUCUCGAGAGCCCAGGGCCCCUCCCUCGGCCAGCCUUGCCCUCGACCCCACAGCCCAGGCGCCGGCAAGGGUCUGACCAGUGUGCCUGGGACCUGCCAACGGAGUCCAAGAGCAGAACCCCCCGGGGCAUGGGGACUGGGGUGGGUGUGCUCACAGCGGGGAUGGAUGCGGCUGGUGCCCUGGGGCUGGCUGGGGCUCCCGUGGGGCUGUGGGAGUUCCCGGAAUCUGUCUGCACCUGGCCUUCUCUCAAGAUUGUAGAUGGAGCCUUCUGAAGGUUCCAAAUGGAACAUUCCAGAAGUUCUAAACGGAGGCUCCUCUCCUGGGGGUGCUUCUCAGGGGGACUCCCCUUCGAGCCACAGGGCCAGCGUCCAGGCGGCUGGCUGGGCUGGGAGGAGGGGAGGCCGCAGGCCCGUGGGCCAGGCCUUAUUUGGUCAGAGCCCGCGCCCGCUGCCUGGCCGGAGCUCCUGGGACCGGGAGGCCCACGCCGCCGAGCCUCCGCCGCCCGCAGCUCGCCUGUCCCCAGCCUCCUCGCCAGCCCUGCCCUACGGCCAAGGCUGCGGCCCCAGGGAGCCCGAGAUGCCGGGUCGGCCGAGGUGGUGGCAGCCCUGAUCGCCACCGGGCUGCAGGGUCCCGGCUCCUGUCCAUAUAUGGCCGAGGAGAGGCGGUGGCCACCCGCCCGCCCUCCUGGAGGGGUUGUCCCCAGCGGGGGGCUGGGCACUGGCGCUGAGGCCCCGCGUUCCUGUAGGAGCCUGGCAGGGGCCUAUCUGACGGUGCUGAGAGUGUGCUGGAGCCUCCAGCGCGGGGAGUCACCCACCCGCCCUCCCCCGGGGCAUGUGACUGGCAGCUCUGCGGGAGCGAGCGGAGGGCGCGCGGGCACUGGGCCUGGGAGAGGGACGCAGGUCCGGGUCAGAAGCUCGGGGCGACCGGGCUGGGACCGACCCUCCCGGGCCUCGGCUUCCUGAUCUGGUACCCACCACACCCAGGGGGGGCCCGAGGGUGCAGGGAGGACGAGGGGCAUGGAGGGGCGCCCAGGGGGGGUCACCAUCGGCAGGGCCGCCAGUCUCCGAGUCCUGCUAGUGUCCUGACUCAUCCGUCUUUGUCACUUCAUCCAACCUCACAAACACCAACCUACUUGGGUCUGCCUGGGCCUCUCCUGGUUUUAGCCCCGAGGGUCCUGCCUCCGGGCGACCAGGACAGUUAGUGGCUCGCCCUGCAGGUGGCCCAGCGCCACCAGGAGCUGGGAGAGGGGAGUGGCUGGCCGGAGCCCUUCCUUGACCCAUACCCCCUCCACCCCAACCAGGAGAGGCCAGGGGAAAGCACAGGGCAGCCCCCUCUGUCAAGGCCAAUGACCGCUGGCAGGACCGAGGGAGGGUGGGGCUGCCGCUGGGGGGUGGGGCGAGGGAGUGGCCGGACCUGCCCUCCAAUCCGGAGGCCUGUGACCUCAAGCAUCUUCUGGGCCCCAGUCGCCCCGCCUCCUAAAUGGGAGAGCCACGAUAGGCAGCCAUAGCCCAGCUUCGCGGAUGCCAAGCUCUGUUCAGAGCUGUGCACCCUCGGCAGGAAGGGCUGCUCACUCUGUGCAGACAAGGAGCAGAGCCCAGAGAGUUUGAGACAGCUGCCCCAGGUCACACAGCUGGGAACUGUAGAGCAAGGAUUUGAGCCCAGAACCACCUGCUUCAGGCCCAUGCGUAACACAGGAGACAGCGCCCUGCAGGGGUGGCAUGCAAGGGCUCUGGGGUCAGCCCCUGAGGGCCCAACUCUAGGCUCCCUGGCCUGAAGGUCCCUUGGCCCUGGGCAAGUUGCCGGACCUGUCUGGGUCUGUUCUGCACCUACCACGUGGGGAUGACAACAGUACCCACCUCGCAGGUUGGUCGUUUACCUAAGAAAUUUCUGUUAGGCUCCUACACUGGGCAGACACUGAUCUAGACGCUGAAGAUACGGCAGAGAACAGAACCCACAGAAAUCCCUGCCUGGAGUCUAUAUUCUGGGUGGGAGCACAAAGACCCAAAACAUAGCCCUCUGUUGGGGGAGGGAACAGAGCGUGAGGGGGGCGGUCCCCUUUAACGAGGAGGGAGCCUGCUACCUUCGAGGAGAGGGCAUUUGAGCAGAACCCGAAUGAAAAGAGGGAGCAAGCUGUUCUGAUUUCAGGGAGAAGAGCACUUUGGGCCUGAGGGAACAGCCUGUUCGAGGGAACAGCCAGUGCAAAGGCCCUGAGGCAGGAUGAGGUUGGAAAGGCUGGAGCAGAAGAAGUGGUAGGAGGCAGGCAUGCAGAGGUGGGCAGGGCUCUGGUUGUGCAGGGGAUGAGAAGCCGCUGGAGGGUUUCAAGCAGAGUGAGGACAGGAUCGCAGUGAAGGUUUUAAAGGAUCUGUCUCACUGUGUGAGGGAGGACGCAAUGAUCCGACAGGAGGCGAGCAUGGCUGGGCCCAGGCUGGGAGCAGGGCAGGAGGGGAAGGUCUGAUUCUGGAGAUACUUUCCAAGUCAAGCUGACGGAUGGGAUAUGGCGGGGGCAGAGGGGGAAGGGAGCGGGGAGUUGGAGAGGGUUCUGGGCUCUUGCGAGCACUAAGCGAGUUCACACCCCAGGAGUUCUUCCCCAGGGCCCGGACGGGGUGACUCCCGGUGACCAUGACACUGGCUCCCUAAGCCGCAUCCCACAGUCGUCAUGGCGACUGAAGGAUGACGCACGGCGAGUUCAGCCCAGUGCCUGGCCGGCUGGCAAGGACCAUCGUCACCGCAGGGUCAUCCUCUCACCCCUGGCUCCCUGCUAAGCUCCAGACAGAGGGACGGGUCCCCGCGCCUGUCCUCAAAUCCCGCAGCGUUGGCUCGUCUGGCCAGUCCUGGGACCUGGGCCCCCGUGAGGACACGGGAUCCCUGCAGGAGGGAGGCGUGUCUGGUGGCUCCCGCCUCGGCCCAGGCAUGGAGACAGGUCUCUGCCGCCAGAGGCCUGGCUUGGAUGGUUUCCUGGAGUCUCCGAGGUCUGGGGUUAGGCUCCAUCAUCCGGAGCUUCCUUUGUGAAGCCAUUCGGGGCACGGGCAGCCCCCUCAGAGGACUCAGGACCACCAUCCGAGUCACUUCUCUUGGACACACAAAUCCUCUCAUGCUACCUGCCUUGGCCCCAAACUCUUCAAUGGCUCCCCAUUGCCCUUGAGAUACAAACAACCCUAGGAUGGUCCGUGAGGCCCCGUGGGGCCUGGCCUCCAGCCUCUCCACCACCAUGAUUCCCUCACACUCUGCUCUCCAACCUCUCUGGCCCCUGUCACACUCACUCUGGGCUGCCCUCUCGAAAGCCACUCCCCAUUUCUUCCUUGCUAGCAAAACAUCAGUUUGGUUGGACCAGCAACAUCCCCUGCACCUGGGGACGAAUCACGACUGGUCUAGUCACAGCCGCCCCAUUGCCCUCUGCCAGAUUCUUGCCUUCUCAGCCUCCUUUGCAGCUAGUAGCAGCGACGUGACCCAGUUCUAGUCAAUGAGAUGUAAGCUUUCUCCCUGCUGUCCUGCUUGUGCUGCUGCUGUGAGGUCAAGAGGCUGGAGCAGUGGCAGCCAUUUUGUGAUCAGGAAGCAACUGGUAAAAAGGACUAAAAACUAACACACUAAGGUGACUGAACAGAAGCAUGGGGGAGACCAGGGUCCUUCGUGAACACAAAAAAGAGUUAUAGUCAGGGGACAGGAGCAUGGCUUCCGUGCUCUCCAUCGCCUGUCCAGCCACGCCAAAAUGACCCCCAGACUGACAGAGAUGCCAGGCUCCCUGCAGGAGAGUGUUGUCAGGAGGGCCUAGGCGGAGCUGACAAACGCCGACCUGAGACUGAAAGUGCGUGCAGUCAGACCACGGGGAUCGGGGGGGAAGCAGGCUGUGUCCAGGGGAGAGCCCUGGCCAGGACGACGGGAGCCAGACCCCCAGAGGGAGGCAGGAAGGCACCCUGCACCUGCUCAGGAGGCCUCCUUCGGGGGGCCCUGGAGAAUUACGAGGAAGGCCACGACCCACAGGCCCCAUGGGAGGCCUCUGUCUAGUUCCCUUUCCUGUCACCAUCUCAGCAAGCAAACUAACACUCACUGAAUGAAUGAAAAACCUCCUAGCACUUGUGUGCCAAUCACUACCGUAUUUAACCUCCCACUGACCCUGGGAGGCAGUGACUGCUGCAGAGAGAGUCUGAAGAGUGCCUUCUCGAGACAGCCUGUGGGGAAACUGAGGCUCAAAGGGCUUUGGUGACUCGCUGUGGCCAGGCCAUACGGGCUUUGCAACCAGAAGAGCUGGGUUUCAGUCCCAACUUUGGCACUUGCUGGCUGUGUGACCUGGGACAAAUGGCUGACCCUCUCUGAGCCUCAGCCCACUCCUCGGCGGCACAGAGAGGAAGAUAACGGUCUGCCGCAGAGGGCUCCUGAGGGGUGAGCGGUGGUGUCCACCAAGGCCGACCACAGAGAACAUGGUCUACACCAGGGGUCGGCAAACUAGCGCCAAACCCGCCCAACACCUGAAUUCGUAAAUGAAGCUUCGUGGGCACCCAGCCGUGUGUGUACAGUUGAGGGCUGCUUCGGUGCCAUGACCACAGAGCUGAGUCAUUUCAACAGAAACGGGAUGGCCCACAAAACUGAGGGUACUUACCGUCUGUCCAGACAGAAAGUUCGUCUACACCCCGACCGAUCCGAGCAUGAGAUCCUGGCAGCGUCAGCAACGUGGGUUGGAGAUGCAGGACCUCAGGCCCCCUGACUGGCACCAGAGCCUGCAUUUUAACCAGACGGCCCAGGCGGGGAAGAUCCGGCUGGAGAACGACAGGUCUGCGCCACUGGGCAGGGUCGGGGGGGCGGCCAAGUUGACGGGGAGAGGGACGAAUGAGUUUGAGGGAGGAGGCUGCAGGCCAGGUUCCCGCCGCGACGCUCACCGGAGUCACCCAGGGAGCCCUCAGACGCACCGGUUCCCGCCAGGCCCGUCGGCGAGGCUCAUUUCAUUGGCCGGGUGGGGUCAGCCAGGGCACCUUGUGGAAACUGGUGCAUUGAUUGGACGAACAAAGGAGAGGAGAACGGGGCAGUGAGAGCUGACACCCGGGGCACCCCCCUCCCCAAAAGGAAGCCCUCAGACCAAGAGGGCAGCCAAAGGGUUGCGCUGGAUCUGUAGGAUGCUUCCCCGGACGUGACUUGGGGACACGGAGAAGGAGGGAAGAAGAGAGAGAGGGGAGAAAGGGAGAGGAGGCCAAAGGUCCCAGAGACUAAGAAUCAGCUACCGGGACGUGGGGACAGAGGAGCGCCGGGCGAGGGGCUGGUGAGACCCGCACCUCCGGGCGUUUGCCUGCCCAGCCCGUCUUGCCAGGGACCCAGGAAGGCCCUUGUCUGCGAAUCCCAAACUCCAGACCCUUGGGGGCCACCUCUAUGACUCCGACCAUCUCCAUCCAUCUACCAUUUGCUUCAUAUUUUUAUUCAAAAUGACUCACCUUAUUUUUUUUUACUUAAGUUUAUUUUAAAAGAAAAUUCUCUGUGAUCCAUGUAAAUGGAAAAGGAGUGUCACUGCCACCAAGAGAAGACGACUCCGAAAACGAGCACGUGGGAGAUAAGUCACGCAGUAAACGCCGCUGCCUGCCCGCGGCUCGGAGCCGGAGCCCUGCCCUCGCUCUGCUAAGCAGGGGCUGAGCAGCUGGGGGACCGGCUGUAAAGACGCAGGCACCAGGCUAAACUGAGAAGAGGAGAAAAAUUGUCAAAGAGGAAGGGCCUUCUCCCCGUGCCCUGCGCUGAGCCUCCUGUCGGCCACAGAGUCUGGGUCCCGCAUUUCCCACACCCCCAUCCCACAAACCCCUUCUUCAGAGAUGGGGAGCCAGGGCCCCAAGCACAGAAGCCACCGUUCCCUCAGAGCUCGUGACACAUCGACACUCACACCAGCCUCGGACGUGCCACCAGGAUGUGUCCCCUCCCGUCCCCUUCUCAGGAGGCAGAGCAUCUCCACAGUCUCAGCCUCCUUGAAGCCGCAGCUGCCUGGAGCUGUCGCCAUCCUUCCAGCACUUCCACCCUCGAGGCCACCGGUGCUUCUGCCCAGAGCGGACACUGGGGUUCUGGGCAUCACUUCAACUGCUCAGCGUCCAUCGAGGCGGUGUGAAGGGCUGGGCUCCUUCCUCGGGCACACACAGAGCGCGGGUGGCUGGGUCUGCAGGCCGGGCCUGGCCACCUCGAGACCAGCCACCAGUGGCCGGUCGUCAGGAUGGUGGCUCGCCCACAUUCCAGAGCCGCAGGCUGGGGCAUGCCUGCCGGGCAGUGGCUGGUGUUUACCGCCAGGCAGAAGCACAAAGGAGCCCUUUUGUCUCCAGGCCGCACCCUGGUGACCGCACACCCCACGGAGCUGCAGGUCACCCUCUCUCUGGUGGGCAAUUCUGCCUUCAUGUUACCGAGCAACUGCGUGGGGCGGAGACCCCCCACUGCCAUCGAGUUUGAGGUGGUGCCGCCUGGGUUCAGCCCUCAGCCCUGCCGCUCACCUCCUGAGGGACCUCGGGGGAAGGGCUGACUCAGGGCCUCAUAAACACACAGAUGCAGAGCGGCUGUAAGGAUUAAAGAGUAAUCACGUUCAGCAUUUCAAACAGUGUGAGCGCUCCACAAAUGUUAGCACGGGGCAUCUGAGUUUUUCGAUUUUUGGUUUUUCCAUCUCCCACUUUCAAAUAACUCCACUAUGCAUGUUUCUGUCCCUGAGGACAAAAAUGUUUUGCCAAAAGAUGAAACGCUGGGUUGGAGGGUACGUGCAGUGUCACAGCCCUUGUUUCACACAGACACAGUGAUCUUCAGCAUCUGAAUCUGUUUACAGCGAAGCUGAUGUGUCAUUUUCCCCACAUCCCUGCCAACACUGGGUUUUAUCAUUUUAUACUUGUUUUCUAACUUCAUCGGCCUGUAGAGCAGCUCUCGUGUGCACCUGUUGCUCUGCCUGCCAGACUGUGCAUUCUCCCAGGUAACAGUUAACUGUCGACGUUUCCUCAGGGAUAAACGUUUUGUUCCGCUCCUUUGAAGGUUUCUCAGACGGCAUCUGCAACAGUUCCUGGCAGGUGCACGCUGGAAGCAUCUUCCGAGCAGGAAGGGGGGACGAGAGAGGCUGCAGCUUGGGAAGGCAGUGACAGUCUCUGCCCCCACCCCCCAUUGCCUGCCUUCCAUUCCCCUGAGCGUCCUCAGAGCACCCCCCAUGGAGGAAACCCUUCCGGGGCUGGGGUUGCAGGCACUGAGGCGGGGGGGGGGGGGGGGGGGGGGGGGGGGGGGGGGGGGGUAGGAAGAACGGAGGGACCAGAGGAAUGGGCUGCAUUUCCUGGAGCAAGAAGCCAGCCAGUGAGGCCGAGGUGCAGCAGGUGCAGUCCCGCAGCAACUCUCCCCGGAGCCCUGGGGGCCAGGAACCUCUCCUUCCAAACUGACGGGUCAGAAUAAACGCCUCCACAAGUUAGGAUUCCAGGCGACGGUCCCUCCUUGCUCCUUCCUCACUGAGGCUCCCAGGCGCUGUGUCGGCAAGAUGCCAGCACCUCUUUCUCAGGUCAUCCCUCACCCGGAACCUGCGAGGACCCCAAAGUCGUCGUCAACCACAGGGGGCGGGGCCGGUUCCCAACCAAACAUCCCUGCCGCCGGGGGUCUUGCCACCACACGGGCUUGCUGUGGAAGACGGGUCUGGAACAGCCUAGCAGACGGGAGUUCACUGUGCAGCGGCGCCCGGGCUGGCUGAACUGGCCGCCCGCAUCUUGAAUGUCGCCCACACUUCGAACUUGAGUUUCCAGCUCUCGAGGGUCACUCAACACUCAGAACAGAAUGACAAGUCACUUCCCCAUCCAACACACCUCCUGGGUCCCCACCCCCAGCACAGAAGCCCCCUGGGCAGCCCAGAUGGUGGCACUGCCCCUACUUUGACAGAGAGGCACCUGGAGCCUCAAAGAGUAACAUUUCCGGAGUCACCCGGCUAGAGUCACCACCCUGGGCACUGAAGGGUGUUUAGCAGCAUCCCUGGUCCCCACCCACGGGACUCCAGGAGCAUCCCCACCCCAGCCGUGACAACCAAAAAUGUCCCCGGACAUUGCCCAGUGUCCCCGAGGGGCAGACUCGCCCCCACUGGAGAACCACUGCUUUGGACGUGGCUGAACACAUCUGCUGUCUGGGGACCAGUGUCCAGCAGAUUCUCCUGAUCUUUGGGAUCCACACCAUCUCGGUGGCCUGUGGGGGCCCUGUAGGACCUCACCACCCCUCUCCAGCUUGCCCUAAUGCGGUCGCCUGCUGUUUCCUCUGCCCUCAGCUCUCUCUGUGUCUCUGGUCCCCUUCCAGGCCCUUCCACGCCCUCAGGGGCCAGCAGAGGCAGGCCCUGACUACACUCCCUGAGCGCCCCAGCUUCACCAUCCCCCUCCAGCCAUCCCCCUGAUUUAGUGUCCUCACGGCCUUUUCUUAAAUUGCCCUGUUUCUGUAUCUCCUUAUUGACGUGUUUGUUUCCGUCUCAGCUCCACGGGGCUCGUCCAUCCCGUUCUCUGCUGUCCCCAGAGCACAGCAGAGCACACGGCGCACGGAACAUGCUCAGGACGCUCCACGAAUGAGCCGGGAGACGGGCGGGCUCCUUGGGUCCUAGAAAUGGACCUCAUCCGCCCCCAGGCCGCGGAGGUGAGCAAAGCCUGCCAGGCCGCCUCACCCGAGCACCCCCCAAGCGUGCCCACCACCCCUUGGGCUCCUCGGGGCUCUUGGGAAACAGCACGGCAAGCCCCCUCGACCCUCCCCGGGGCCAGAAGCCACCGCCGGCCAGUGCAGGAGGCAGCGGCUCUAAUUAUAGAAGGCAGGUUG
Molecule: long non-coding RNA, 15363 nt
Organism: Equus caballus (horse)
Lineage: Eukaryota; Metazoa; Chordata; Mammalia; Perissodactyla; Equidae
Source: Ensembl